RNAcentral lists this transfer RNA (72 nucleotides) under Dictyocaulus viviparus (bovine lungworm). It matches the Rfam family "tRNA". From Rfam's summary of the family: Transfer RNA (tRNA) molecules are approximately 80 nucleotides in length. Their secondary structure includes four short double-helical elements and three loops (D, anti-codon, and T loops). Further hydrogen bonds mediate the characteristic L-shaped molecular structure. tRNAs have two regions of fundamental functional importance: the anti-codon, which is responsible for specific mRNA codon recognition, and the 3' end, to which the tRNAs corresponding amino acid is attached (by aminoacyl-tRNA synthetases). tRNAs cope with the degeneracy of the genetic code in two manners: having more than one tRNA (with a specific anti-codon) for a particular amino acid; and 'wobble' base-pairing, i.e. permitting non-standard base-pairing at the 3rd anti-codon position. The record is from Rfam by way of RNAcentral. Lineage: Eukaryota; Metazoa; Nematoda; Chromadorea; Rhabditida; Metastrongylidae.
GCCUCGGUGGUGUAAUGGUAACCACGGCAACCCGGAUAUCUUUAAGUGCGGGUCCGACUCCCGCCUGAGGUU